CUGCCAGAUCCAAGAUUUCAUAAUAGAGCGAUUCAAUUUCGAAGGACCAAGUCAAAAGUCCACAGCCAGUGGAUCCAAUUAUUUAAUGCCGAAUAAAUGACAGUGUUGUCACUAUAAGGGAGUCAUUGAAGCUGUUUUGAUACAAUCAAGAACUUCUGCAGAAAGCCAUUUCUGUUGUUUGCAGAAUUAUCUGCAAGUGGGAAAAAGCUAGUUAAAG
RNAcentral lists this unclassified non-coding RNA (217 nucleotides) under Hevea brasiliensis (rubber tree). The record is from RNAcentral. Lineage: Eukaryota; Viridiplantae; Streptophyta; Magnoliopsida; Malpighiales; Euphorbiaceae.